This 497-nucleotide ribosomal RNA is filed under the name uncultured bacterium. RNAcentral describes it as "partial 16S ribosomal RNA". It matches the Rfam family "Bacterial small subunit ribosomal RNA", at positions 28 to 507 of the family's 1533-position model. The record is from RNAcentral.
GAUGAACGCUGGCGGCGUGCCUAAUACAUGCCAGUCGAGCGAACAGACGAGGAGCUUGCUCCUCUGACGUUAGCGGCGGACGGGUGAGUAACACGUGGAUAACCUACCUAUAAGACUGGGAUAACUUCGGGAAACCGGAGCGAAUACCGGAUAAUAUAUUGAACCGCAUGGUUCAAUAGUGAAAGACGGUUUUGCUGUCACUGAUAGAUGGAUCCGCGCCGCAUUAGCUAGUUGGUAAGGUAACGGCUUACCAAGGCGACGAUGCGUAGCCGACCUGAGAGGGGGAUCGGCCGCACUGGAACUGAGACACGGUCCAGACGACUACUGGAGGAAGCAGUAGGGAAUCUUCCGGAAUGGGCGAAAGCCUGACGGAGCAACGCCGCGUGAGUGAUGAAGGUCUUCGGAUCGUAAAACUCUGUUAUUAGGGAAGAACAAAUGUGUAAGUAACUAUGCACGUCUUGACGGUACCUAAUCAGAAAGCCACGGCUAACUACGUG